Regulatory RNA element from Haemophilus influenzae Rd KW20, 104 nucleotides. It matches the Rfam family "sxy 5' UTR element". The record is from Rfam. Lineage: Bacteria; Pseudomonadati; Pseudomonadota; Gammaproteobacteria; Pasteurellales; Pasteurellaceae.
UUCUACUGACUCUUUUAAAAUAAUUAUUCAUUGGAGGUUUAAUAUGAAUAUAAAGGAUGAGCAUAUAGAUAGCGUUUGCUCCUUGUUAGAUCAGUUAGUAGGAA